Long non-coding RNA from Onychostoma macrolepis, 1518 nucleotides. RefSeq lists it as uncharacterized. The transcript is spliced from 2 exons. NCBI's taxonomy places the organism in Eukaryota, Metazoa, Chordata, Actinopteri, Cypriniformes, Cyprinidae. The record is from RefSeq and is a predicted model, not a curated record.
CUCAAACUCUGACGAAAUUAGCGCCUUUUCAUGUCACCCUGAAAGCCUCCAUCCAACUCCUUUUGUAUGCCUGAGUACUCAGUUCAGAAUAGAUCAAUAGAUCUCAAAUGUGACCAGGGGCCAGCUGUACUAAUUACUGAAUAUAUUAAUCACAACUCCUUUGCUCUCAGAAAUGAAGAACCUCCUAAUGCCUAAUGCACUUGAUUAAUAUCUCACAAAUAGUGCAGAGUGCUUCUGACAGUAAAGGAGUUUGAAAAAUACAACUAUGUUGUUUCAGACACAAGUAGGCAAAGCAAAAGUAUUUGGACAUUUAGAUGCCCUCAAAUAGACUUUUUUGGAAUGUUAAUGACACACAUACAAUUUAAGUUUUCAUAGAUUUUAUUAUUUGACCGUUGAUGUCAAAUAAUAGAUUUUAUGAUUUUAUUCCUGGCCAAGAAUACAUUUUUUUAAUUCUGAUUUCCCUAAAGUGAAUCAGACUUUUGAUAAGUGCCUUAUUUGUCAGAAUUAUGGAAAAUAACAUAUGCUGCAUUAAAAGAAAAGAUAGCAGGUGUAUAAUUGUCCAAUGUUCUUGUACUGUUCUCCUCCCAUGUGCAAAUGCAAUUUAACAGCCAGCCAAAGUCCAUCCAUAAAGUACCGAUGAGUCGGGAUUCAUCUUAGUCUUUCUCGUUUAACUCUCUAAGAUCAGUGCAAAAGACACUAAAAAUGCUCUGUUGAUUUUGGUCACACAAAUAAGUGUUAUACAUCAAUCAAAACUGUUAAGUGUCUACUUUUAUUUUUGUACACUCAGAAUAACAACACAACUUUGUGCUUUUGGAAAAAUAAGAAAACAAACAGGGUGCGCUCUCUGUCUUCUCCAUCUCCGCGAACUGCUUUUGGAAAACGCGUCACUAAAAUUGUAACUCAGCAAAUGCUCAACACAGAGACAUGGGAGUUAUAUCUAUAGAAAGCUGAAAUCCCGCCCCUGCGCGGCUCGCGCAGUUCAUAUGUAAAUAGCCACGUGGGACGUGCACACGUGCAAACACCCAACACAAACAAAGAGCGAAGAGAUCCUCAUUGCGGCUACUGUUCGUUUCUGGAAGAAGACGUGCUGAGUAAAGGCAGGAUUUCCCUUGAAAGGAGAACAUGAUUUCAUCCAGUAAAGGAGAUCAAUCUGAUGAAUACCUGCACCACAGAUGUAUUCUGAUGUCUCUUCAAACUGUUUUCCUCUGAGAGCGCUGUACCAACAUCAGAUGUUCAACUACACUGAUAUUCUAUGUUAAAACAAGCUCCUUGACUACUGAUUAUGUUUUUUUCUUCUUGAAUCCAUGGAAAGAAGUAGAAACACUUAAAUAACACACGUAAAUAUCAGGUAUGAUUUACUUGUUUCACUUGUUGAACAGAAUCUGUUGCAGGAAUGACUCAAAGUCUGUUCACAUCUCUGUGGUUAGAUCAGUGUGCACAAUAAUGUGUCUUUGACCUUCAUUAUGUAUGUUUUGAUUAUACUGUGUUGUAAAUAAAAUACAAAUAAUUUAAAAAAAA